RNAcentral lists this long non-coding RNA (1069 nucleotides) under Pogona vitticeps (central bearded dragon). Its description in RNAcentral is "lncRNA (ENSPVIG00000002749.1)". The record is from RNAcentral. Lineage: Eukaryota; Metazoa; Chordata; Lepidosauria; Squamata; Agamidae.
CAGACCGAGGCAAAGAGGCAGUCCUGAAACAAGCAAAACCAGGGAGCUGGACAGGGGACAGAUUGGAUUUGUCUUCAGUGUGGAAGGGAUUGUCACUCUCGAAUUGGCCUUCUCAGCCACACAAGACACUGUUCCAAGACCUCCAUACAGAGCACGAUACCAUAGUCUCUCGAGACUGAAGGAUGCCUACACAUGCAAGGAUGCCCUGUGGAUUUCAUUUGGGUCCCGUUUUAAGUGUACCAACGUGAUUUCCACCUCCUAGGGUGAACACAUGGAUCAGAGCACAGUAAUCCUUAGGGUUUUGCACUCCUAUAGUUCUCAGCUUUAAAAAAUGCCACAACGCUAGGGUAUUAAACUGCUACUUUUCACAUUCUUCUUCAUCUUCUUUUUAAAUUGCCAGUUCACACAUAAAUAGGAUAGCCUGGACUCAGGACUGAGACAAGGCAGUUUUCUGCUUGAGGUGGAGCAGCGCAUCAUGUCCCCCCCCAUGCCUCUUAAAGUGCAAUUUGGCUGAAGGGAUCCAAGUUAUUUUGGUACAUGAGACAGAAAAAUCACAACCAGGACUCCUUCCCCUUCAUGGCAGAAUAAAUAGAAUAAUGGCAUAUUAAAUGACUAUUUACUGACCUUUCAGGGCACUCAAAACCUGCUGACAGAGCCCCCUCAAUGGGGUGAGUGCUUGGGAUGCAUCCGCAGUGAAUGUACGGACAAAUAUAUCUGAGACUGAGGGUCAAUUUACAAUUUCUCAGUACAAUACCGAACCUGAAAGCAGCUAGCAAGUCUGGAGACUGCCAGUGUGCCACGAAAGGUCAGCUCCCAUUAGAGGUAUUUAUUUAAUUUCGAAGCCAAAAUAGCAAUUGCAUUUAUGCGAUUUAAAAAGAAGAUUAAUUCCUCUGAUCUACAGGAGAGAAAAGGUUACAUAUUAAUUGUCACAGCCAUUUAUUUAUAUGGAUCAUCUCACAUUUCAAUAGUUAAUCUGUAUAGGAUUUAUGGGUAAAUGAUUUUGCCAGUGUGUUUUGGCCAAGAAAGAAGUAAACACAUCCCUCCCCCACCCCCCAACAUAGCUCCUCAU